GACGAACGCUGGCGGCGUGCUUAACACAUGCAAGUCGAGCGGUAAGGCCCUUCGGGGUACACGAGCGGCGAACGGGUGAGUAACACGUGAGUAAUCUGCCCAUCACUUCGGGAUAACUCCGGGACACCGGUGCUAAUACCGAAUAUGACCACUUCAGGCAUCUGAUGGUGGUGGAAAGUUCCGGCGGUGAUGGAUGAGCUCGCGGCCUAUCAGCUUGUUGGUGGGGUAGUGGCCUACCAAGGCUUCGACGGGUAGCCGGCCUGAGAGGGUGACCGGCCACACUGGGACUGAGACACGGCCCAGACUCCUACGGGAGGCAGCAGUGGGGAAUAUUGGACAAUGGGCGAAAGCCUGAUCCAGCAACGCCGCGUGAGGGAUGACGGCCUUCGGGUUGUAAACCUCUUUCAGCAGGGACGAAGCGCAAGUGACGGUACCUGCAGAAGAAGCACCGGCCAACUACGUG
RNAcentral lists this ribosomal RNA (463 nucleotides) under uncultured bacterium. RNAcentral describes it as "partial 16S ribosomal RNA". It matches the Rfam family "Bacterial small subunit ribosomal RNA", at positions 28 to 507 of the family's 1533-position model. The record is from RNAcentral.